This 104-nucleotide Y RNA is filed under the name Prolemur simus (greater bamboo lemur). Its description in RNAcentral is "Y RNA (ENSPSMG00000020146.1)". It matches the Rfam family "Y RNA". Rfam says of the family: Y RNAs are components of the Ro ribonucleoprotein particle (Ro RNP), in association with Ro60 and La proteins. The Y RNAs and Ro60 and La proteins are well conserved, but the function of the Ro RNP is not known. Lineage: Eukaryota; Metazoa; Chordata; Mammalia; Primates; Lemuridae. The record is from Rfam by way of RNAcentral.
GGCUGGACCAAAGGUAGUGAGUUAUCUUGAUUGUUCAGUUACAGAUAGAACUCCUUGUUCUACUCUUUGCCCCCUUCUCACUACUGCAUUUUGACUAGUCUUAA